GUAGGUGGCAAGCGUUGCCGGGUAAUUAUUGGGGCGUAAAGCGCGCGCAGGCGGUUCUUUAAGUCUGAUGUGAAAGCCCACGGCUCAACCGUGGAGGGUCAUUGGAAACUGGAGAACUUGAGUACAGAAGAGGAAAGCGGAAUUCCACGUGUAGCGGUGAAAUGCGUAGAGAUGUGGAGGAACACCAGUGGCGAAGGCGGCUUUCUGGUCUGUAACUGACGCUGAGGCGCGAAAGCGUGGGGAGCAAACAGGAUUAGAUACCCUGGUAGUCCACGCCGUAAACGAUGAGUGCUAAGUGUUAGGGGGUUUCCGCCCCUUAGUGCUGCAGCUAACGCAUUAAGCACUCCGCCUGGGGAGUACGGCCGCAAAGGCUG
RNAcentral lists this ribosomal RNA (374 nucleotides) under uncultured organism. RNAcentral's name for it is "partial 16S ribosomal RNA". It matches the Rfam family "Bacterial small subunit ribosomal RNA", at positions 527 to 896 of the family's 1533-position model. The record is from RNAcentral.